RNAcentral lists this ribosomal RNA (490 nucleotides) under uncultured bacterium. RNAcentral describes it as "partial 16S ribosomal RNA". It matches the Rfam family "Bacterial small subunit ribosomal RNA", at positions 28 to 507 of the family's 1533-position model. The record is from RNAcentral.
GAUGAACGCUAGCGAUAGGCUUGACACAUGCAAGUCGAGGGGCAGCAUGGUCUUAGCUUGCUAAGACUGAUGGCGACCGGCGCACGGGUGCGUAACGCGUAUGCAACUUGCCUCACAGAGGGGGAUAACCCGUCGAAAGACGGACUAAUACCGCGUACACUCCAUCUUGGGCAUCCAAGGUAGAGGAAAUGAAAUUCGCUGUGAGAUAGGCAUGCGUCCCAUUAGCUAGUUGGUGAGGUAACGGCUCACCAAGGCGACGAUGGGUAGGGGAACUGAGAGGUUGAACCCCCACACUGGUACUGAGACACGGACCAGACUACUACGGGAGGCAGCAGUGAGGAAUAUUGGUCAAUGGGCGAGAGCCUGAACCAGCCAAGUCGCGUGAAGGAUGACUGUCUUAUGGAUUGUAAACUUCUUUUAUACGGGAAUAACAAGAGUCACGUGUGACUCCCUGCAUGUACCGUAUGAAUAAGCAUCGGCUAACUCCGUG